CCCUUAGAUGUCCUGGGCCGCACGCGCGUUACACUGAUGCAUUCAACGAGCUUAUAACCUUGGCCGAGAGGACUGGGCAAUCUUGUUAACGUGCAUCGUGAUAGGGAUAGAUUAUUGAAAUUAUUAAUCUUGAACGAGGAAUUCCUAGUAAACGCAGAUCAUCAAUCUGCAUUGAUUACGUCCCUGCCCUUUGUACACACCGCCCGUCGCACCUACCGAUUGGAUGGUCCGGUGAAGCCUCGGGAUUGUGGUUCUUGCCGCUUUAUUGUGGCGUGACCGCGAGAACUUGUCUAAACCUUAUCAUCUAGAGGAAGGUGAAGUCGUAACA
RNAcentral lists this ribosomal RNA (328 nucleotides) under uncultured eukaryote. RNAcentral describes it as "partial 18S ribosomal RNA". It matches the Rfam family "Eukaryotic small subunit ribosomal RNA", at positions 1470 to 1796 of the family's 1831-position model. The record is from RNAcentral.